Molecule: long non-coding RNA, 265 nt
Filed under: Jatropha curcas
Lineage: Eukaryota; Viridiplantae; Streptophyta; Magnoliopsida; Malpighiales; Euphorbiaceae
Description: long non-coding RNA (JCUR_LNC000943)
Source: RNAcentral
CGGAUCUUAUGGUCAUCGCCUCUUAAGUUCCACUAUUGUUCUUCCAGUGGUUUUUGUUCCUUUUCCAAAUUCACCUCCUGUGAAUAAGAAUUUGGAGCAUGUUCUUAAAAGAUUACCCCUAUAACAUCUGCAAGGCAUGCUAUCUUAUGAGGAACUAAAAAGCACUAAGCUAUCUUAUGAGGAACUAAAAAGCACUAAGCGAGUCUUUCUGAACUCGAAAAUGUGCCUAGUCAUAUGUUGGGAAAAAUGCUAUAUGUUGUCACAG